UGCAAGUCGAGGGGUAUAGUAGCAAUACUAGAGACCGGCGCACGGGUGCGUAACGCGUAUGCAAUCUACCUUUUACAGAGGGAUAGCCCAGAGAAAUUUGGAUUAAUACCUCAUAGCAUUGCGGAAUGGCAUCAUUUUGCAAUUAAAGUCACAACGGUAAAAGAUGAGCAUGCGUCCCAUUAGCUAGUUGGUAAGGUAACGGCUUACCAAGGCAACGAUGGGUAGGGGUCCUGAGAGGGAGAUCCCCCACACUGGUACUGAGACACGGACCAGACUCCUACGGGAGGCAGCAGUGAGGAAUAUUGGGCAAUGGACGCAAGUCUGACCCAGCCACGCCGCGUGAAGGAUGAAGGCCCUAUGGGUUGUAAACUUCUUUUGUAUGGGAAGAAGCCCCCGAACGCGUUCGGGGCUGACGGUACCAUAAGAAUAAGCAUCGGCUAACUCCGUGCCAGCAGCCGCGGUAAUACGGAGGAUGCAAGCGUUGUCCGGAUUCAUUGGGUUUAAAGGGUGCGUAGGCGGAGAAUUAAGUCAGUGGUGAAAGCUUACAGCUUAACUGUAAAAAUGCCAUUGAAACUGAUUUUCUUGAGUUCGAUUGAGGUAGAUGGAAUGUAUCAUGUAGCGGUGAAAUGCUUAGAUAUGAUACAGAACACCAAUUGCGAAGGCAGUCUACUAAGUCGACACUGACGCUGAGGCACGAAAGCAUGGGGAGCAAACAGGAUUAGAUACCCUGGUAGUCCAUGCCCUAAACGUUGAUUACUCGUUGUUGGCGAUAUACAGUCAGCGACUAAGCGAAAGCGUUAAGUAAUCCACCUGGGGAGUACGAUCGCAAGGUUGAAACUCAAAGGAAUUGACGGGGGCCCGCACAAGCGGUGGAGCAUGUGGUUUAAUUCGAUGAUACGCGAGGAACCUUACCAGGGCUUGAAAGUUAGUGACCGCCGCCGAAAGGGUGGCUUCCCUUCGGGGCACAAAACUAAGGUGCUGCAUGGCUGUCGUCAGCUCG
RNAcentral lists this ribosomal RNA (1000 nucleotides) under uncultured bacterium. RNAcentral's name for it is "bacterial SSU rRNA". It matches the Rfam family "Bacterial small subunit ribosomal RNA", at positions 56 to 1062 of the family's 1533-position model. The record is from RNAcentral.